Molecule: long non-coding RNA, 745 nt
Organism: Musa acuminata AAA Group (dessert banana)
Lineage: Eukaryota; Viridiplantae; Streptophyta; Magnoliopsida; Zingiberales; Musaceae
Exons: 3
Source: RefSeq, a predicted model, not a curated record
AAAAGAAAAAGAGGGUUAACUAUGGCGGACAACUUCCAGAAGCAGCCCCUCUGCUCGCUCGUCUCCGACGUCGAGAGCCACCAUGGCGGCGACCCUCCCCGCCUUCCGUGCUCCUGAUUGUUCCCAUCCGAUCUCUUGCGUUAUUUCGGUGGAUGAAGGAAUCGAUUUCCCCUUCGUAUUUUGAGUCCGAUUGCAGCUACCGCGACGAUUCCGAUCUGUACUGAAUUGAUGGAUUUCAUGGUUGAAACCAAAGCGAUGGGGAAGAAUGGUAUCGGCCUAUGCGUCGUGCUUCGAGAAGCAGAAGGAAGUUCGAUGAAACCGAAGCCGAGAGUAUUACGAUCGUGGGGAUUCACAAGUCCGAGAUGGCCAAACUCGUGAUUUUGAACCCCUGACAAAAGGGGGGGGACCGCCACCUCGGCGAUACCGCUUUACUAUUUCGACCACCACCAGGAUGCAGGAUGCAGGAUGCAGGAUGCCGGAUGCCCAUCCAACUGCAGGAAACAUGUUAUGUGGUAAAGUAAGUAAAUCAUGUACUCCCUUUGAUAAAGCUGUUGACAACUGGUCACAGCGAUGGCCGUGGAAGUGGCAGGCACGAUCCCUUCCAACCAUAAAACUCAUUCAACUCAAACGUUAUCUCUGGCUGUUGGCUUCUUGAAAGAAAGAAAACCUGCAUGUAAUAUUUGUAUACACAAGUAAGUCUCCACGUCUCACCCCCUUCCCCAACUGAUCAAGCACGUCAUCAUCC